This 254-nucleotide ribosomal RNA is filed under the name uncultured bacterium. RNAcentral describes it as "partial 16S ribosomal RNA". It matches the Rfam family "Bacterial small subunit ribosomal RNA", at positions 524 to 776 of the family's 1533-position model. The record is from RNAcentral.
CACGUAGGGUGCGAGCGUUGUCCGGAAUUAUUGGGCGUAAAGAGCUCGUAGGCGGUGUGUCGCGUCGGCCGUGAAAACCUGCAGCUUAACUGUGGGCGUGCGGUCGAUACGGGCAUCACUGGAGUUCGGCAGGGGAGACUGGAAUUCCUGGUGUAGCGGUGAAAUGCGCAGAUAUCAGGAGGAACACCGGUGGCGAAGGCGGGCUCCUGGGGUUGUCUUGACGCUGAGGCGCGAAAGCUGGGGGAGCGAACGGG